RNAcentral lists this ribosomal RNA (1422 nucleotides) under Lactiplantibacillus plantarum. Its description in RNAcentral is "bacterial SSU rRNA". It matches the Rfam family "Bacterial small subunit ribosomal RNA". Lineage: Bacteria; Bacillati; Bacillota; Bacilli; Lactobacillales; Lactobacillaceae. The record is from RNAcentral.
CGAACGAACUCUGGUAUUGAUUGGUGCUUGCAUCAUGAUUUACAUUUGAGUGAGUGGCGAACUGGUGAGUAACACGUGGGAAACCUGCCCAGAAGCGGGGGAUAACACCUGGAAACAGAUGCUAAUACCGCAUAACAACUUGGACCGCAUGGUCCGAGCUUGAAAGAUGGCUUCGGCUAUCACUUUUGGAUGGUCCCGCGGCGUAUUAGCUAGAUGGUGGGGUAACGGCUCACCAUGGCAAUGAUACGUAGCCGACCUGAGAGGGUAAUCGGCCACAUUGGGACUGAGACACGGCCCAAACUCCUACGGGAGGCAGCAGUAGGGAAUCUUCCACAAUGGACGAAAGUCUGAUGGAGCAACGCCGCGUGAGUGAAGAAGGGUUUCGGCUCGUAAAACUCUGUUGUUAAAGAAGAACAUAUCUGAGAGUAACUGUUCAGGUAUUGACGGUAUUUAACCAGAAAGCCACGGCUAACUACGUGCCAGCAGCCGCGGUAAUACGUAGGUGGCAAGCGUUGUCCGGAUUUAUUGGGCGUAAAGCGAGCGCAGGCGGUUUUUUAAGUCUGAUGUGAAAGCCUUCGGCUCAACCGAAGAAGUGCAUCGGAAACUGGGAAACUUGAGUGCAGAAGAGGACAGUGGAACUCCAUGUGUAGCGGUGAAAUGCGUAGAUAUAUGGAAGAACACCAGUGGCGAAGGCGGCUGUCUGGUCUGUAACUGACGCUGAGGCUCGAAAGUAUGGGUAGCAAACAGGAUUAGAUACCCUGGUAGUCCAUACCGUAAACGAUGAAUGCUAAGUGUUGGAGGGUUUCCGCCCUUCAGUGCUGCAGCUAACGCAUUAAGCAUUCCGCCUGGGGAGUACGGCCGCAAGGCUGAAACUCAAAGGAAUUGACGGGGGCCCGCACAAGCGGUGGAGCAUGUGGUUUAAUUCGAAGCUACGCGAAGAACCUUACCAGGUCUUGACAUACUAUGCAAAUCUAAGAGAUUAGACGUUCCCUUCGGGGACAUGGAUACAGGUGGUGCAUGGUUGUCGUCAGCUCGUGUCGUGAGAUGUUGGGUUAAGUCCCGCAACGAGCGCAACCCUUAUUAUCAGUUGCCAGCAUUAAGUUGGGCACUCUGGUGAGACUGCCGGUGACAAACCGGAGGAAGGUGGGGAUGACGUCAAAUCAUCAUGCCCCUUAUGACCUGGGCUACACACGUGCUACAAUGGAUGGUACAACGAGUUGCGAACUCGCGAGAGUAAGCUAAUCUCUUAAAGCCAUUCUCAGUUCGGAUUGUAGGCUGCAACUCGCCUACAUGAAGUCGGAAUCGCUAGUAAUCGCGGAUCAGCAUGCCGCGGUGAAUACGUUCCCGGGCCUUGUACACACCGCCCGUCACACCAUGAGAGUUUGUAACACCCAAAGUCGGUGGGGUAACCUUUUAGGAACC